Molecule: ribosomal RNA, 466 nt
Filed under: uncultured bacterium
Lineage: Bacteria
Description: partial 16S ribosomal RNA
Rfam family: Bacterial small subunit ribosomal RNA
Source: RNAcentral
GAUGAACGCUGGCGGCGUGCUUAACACAUGCAAGUCGAACGAAGAAGCCCAGCUUUCUGGGUGGUUUAGUGGCGAACGGGCGAGUGACACACGAGUAAACUGCCCUCCACUCUGGGAUAAGCCUGGACGACUGGGUCGAAUACCUGAUAGAAGAGCCUACCGCCCGGGGGGUGCUGGAGAGAUUUAGCGGUUUUGGGUGGGCUCGCGGCGUAUCAGCUUUUUGGUGAGGGAAUGGUUCACAAAGGGGACGACGGGGAGCCGGCGCGGGAGGGGGAACGGGCACAAUGGGACUGAGAGACGGACCAGACUGCUACGGGAGGCAGCAGUGGGGAAUAUUGCACAAUGGGCGAAAGCCUGAGGCAGCGACGCCGGGUGCGGGAAGACGGCCUUCGGGUUGUAAACCUCUUUCGGUAGGGAAGAAGCGAGAGUGACGGUACCUGCAGAAGAAGCACCGGCUAACUACGUG